AACUCCCUUUAUAAUUCAAAUGAUUAUCAAGCUUUGUUUUUAGUUUCAUUCUCCUUCAAUUCAAAUUGUUAGCUUCUCGACACAUAGUACUCCAUUUUCAACCGUCGGAUCGUCAAAAUGAACUUUGAAGUGAGAUAUAUCCAGUGUACACUAUAGCUACGGAUUUAGGCCUAGAGUAUUGUGCUUGGAAGGAAAUCGGCCAAGGUACCAAAGGUGAAAUAUGAGGUGAUGUGUUGCUUGUACGUGCGCGGGGCUAAACAAAUUUGGGUUUUAUAAAUUUGUAAUUUAAAUGAAAAAUUCUUUUAUUGUAUGAAGAUUAUUUACAGGC
Molecule: long non-coding RNA, 328 nt
Organism: Trifolium pratense (red clover)
Lineage: Eukaryota; Viridiplantae; Streptophyta; Magnoliopsida; Fabales; Fabaceae
Exons: 3
Source: RefSeq, a predicted model, not a curated record